GCUUAGAAGCAGCCAUCCUUUAAAGAGUGCGUAAUAGCUCACUAGUCGAGGGGUUCUGCGCCGAAAAUUAUCGGGGCUAAACUAUACACCGAAGCUGCGGGAUUCUUUAUGAAUCGGUAGGGGAGCGUUCUCAAUGCACUGAAUCUGAAUUGUGAAAUUUGGUGGAGCGUUGAGAAGUGAGAAUGUCGGCAUGAGUAGCGACAAUCUUUGUGAGAAUCAAAGACACCGGAAGUCCGAGGUUUCCUACGCAACGUUGAUCGGCGUAGGGUUAGUCGGUCCUAAGGAGAAGCCGAAAGGUGAAUUCGAUGGACAGCUGGUCAAAAUUCCAGCACCGUAAUUAUCCUGUUAUGCAACGAAGGGACGCGAUAAGGACUGUUAAGCAUGCCUAUGGACAUGGUGUGUGGGGCCUUGUAGGGAAGUGAUUGUGGUUAAAAGAACAGUUACGUUAUUAACUGAGAAGGUUUCAGACCUUAAGGCUUCGGCCUUAGGGAAUUUAACACGAACUAUGUCGCCAAGAAAAGCUUCGUUGAUAGGGAUAUUAUGACCGUACCGAAAACCGACACAGGUGGACAGGGGUAAAAGCCCCAAGGUGAACGAGAAAACCAUCCUCAAGGAACUCGGCAAAUUAACCCCGUAACUUCGGAAUAAGGGGAGCCUAAAAUAUAUAGACUUCGCGUUGAAAGUAUUUUAGGCCGCAGAGAAUUGGUCUGAGCGACUGUUUAUCAAAAACACAGGUCCGUGCUAAAGCGAAAGCUGAUGUAUACGGGCUGACGCCUGCCCAGUGCCGGUAGGUUAAAGUGAAGAGUGAGAGCUUUGAUCUGAAGCCCCGGUGAACGGCGGCCGUAACUAUAACGGUCCUAAGGUAGCGAAAUCCCUUGUCGGGUAAGUUCCGACCUGCACGAAAGGCGUAACGACUUGGACACUGUCUCGAGGGUGGACUCGGUGAAAUUGCAUGACCCGUAAAGAUGCGGGUUACGCGCAGCAGGACAAAAAGACCCCGUGGAGCUUUACUGCAGCUUGGCAUUGAAUUGUGAUUAAUGAUGUGUAGGAUAGGCGGGAGACUAUGAAUUUUGAGCGUCAGCUCAAUUGGAGUCGCCCUUGAAAUACCGCCCUUCUUUGGUCUUGAUUCUAACUUUUUUAGGACAGUGUCUGGUAGGCAGUUUGACUGGGGCGGUCGCCUCCUAAAAUGUAACGGAGGCGCCCAAAGGUAACCUCAGGCUGGAUGGAAAUCAGCUUUUGAGUGCAUUGGCAUAAGGUUGCUUGACUGCGAGACCAACAAGUCGAGCAGGGACGAAAGUCGGGCAAAGUGAUCCCACGGUACCGAGUGGAAGGGCCGUGGCUUAACGGAUAAAAGCUACCCCGGGGAU
Molecule: ribosomal RNA, 1367 nt
Filed under: marine metagenome
Description: bacterial LSU rRNA
Rfam family: Bacterial large subunit ribosomal RNA
Source: RNAcentral